Molecule: ribosomal RNA, 681 nt
Filed under: uncultured Glomeromycotina
Lineage: Eukaryota; Fungi; Glomeromycota
Description: eukaryotic LSU rRNA
Rfam family: Eukaryotic large subunit ribosomal RNA
Source: RNAcentral
GAGUGAAGAGGGACAAGCUCAAAUUUUAAAUCUUGUCGGGUUCUCCUGCACCGAGUUGUAAUUUGAAGAAGCGUUUUCCGCGCCGUUUGAUCAGCCCAAGUCUUAUUGAAUGAGGCAUCAUGGAGGGUGAGAAUCCCGUUCGGUUGAUCAGAUUCGCUUUACGAUACGCUUUCUAAGAGUCAAGUUGUUUGGGAUUGCAGCUUAAAAUGGGAGGUAAAUUUCUCCUAAGGCUAAAUAACGGCGAGAGACCGAUAGCGAACAAGUACCGUGAGGGAAAGAUGAAAAGAACUUUGAAAAGAGAGUUAAAUAGUACGUGAAAUUGUUGAAAAGGAAACGAUUGAAGCCAGUCGUACCUGCGGGUAAUCAGCCUUUUGGGCAUGAUUCUGUGGAGCGUGAGGAGUUAAACGCCUUCAUGCCUGCAUAUUCGUGUACUUUUGGGUGUACUUGCCUGUGUGGUUAGUUAACAUCAAUUUUGGUUAUCAUAAAAUGGUUGGAGGAAUGUAGCUCCGAUUUCGAUUGAAGUGUUAUAGCCUUCGGCAGAUGUGAUGAUCGGGAUUGAGGAUUGCAACGGAUGCCCUUCGGGGCUACCUGUCUGGUCUCUGAUCGUUGCUCUGGUGCCGAAAGCGUGCUUACGGUUAUCAAAGUCGAUGGUCAAUAGGUUAGAACGGGUUAAAUUCGUUA